UGUAUGGUUAAGUGACUAAGCGUACACGGUGGAUGCCUGGGCAGUCAGAGGCGAUGAAGGACGUACUAACUUGCGAUAAGCGCAGAUAAGGCAGUAAGAGCCGUUUGAGUCUGCGAUUUCCGAAUGGGGAAACCCAACUGCAUAAGCAGUUACUGUUAACUGAAUACAUAGGUUAACAGAGCAAACCGGGGGAACUGAAACAUCUAAGUACCCCGAGGAGAAGAAAUCAACCGAGAUUCCGGUAGUAGCGGCGAGCGAACCUGGAUUAGCCCUUAAGCACUCGGUGAAGUAGGUGAACAAGCUGGAAAGCUUGGCGAUACAGGGUGAUAGCCCCGUAACCGACGCUUCAUCGAGCGUGAAAUCGAGUAGGGCGGGACACGUGAUAUCCUGUCUGAAUAUGGGGGGACCAUCCUCCAAGGCUAAAUACUCCUGACUGACCGAUAGUGAACCAGUACCGUGAGGGAAAGGCGAAAAGAACCCCUGUGAGGGGAGUGAAAUAGAACCUGAAACCGUGUACGUACAAGCAGUAGGAGCACCUUCGUGGUGUGACUGCGUACCUUUUGUAUAAUGGGUCAGCGACUUAUAUUCAGUGGCAAGGUUAACCGUAUAGGGGAGCCGUAGCGAAAGCGAGUCUUAACUGGGCGCUCAGUCUCUGGAUAUAGACCCGAAACCGGGUGAUCUAGCCAUGGGCAGGUUGAAGGUUGAGUAACAUCAACUGGAGGACCGAACCGACUAAUGUUGAAAAAUUAGCGGAUGACUUGUGGCUAGGGGUGAAAGGCCAAUCAAACUCGGAGAUAGCUGGUUCUCCCCGAAAGCUAUUUAGGUAGCGCCUCGGACGAAUACUACUGGGGGUAGAGCACUGUUAAGGCUAGGGGGUCAUCCCGACUUACCAACCCUUUGCAAACUCCGAAUACCAGUAAGUACUAUCCGGGAGACACACGGCGGGUGCUAACGUCCGUCGUGGAGAGGGAAACAACCCAGACC
Molecule: ribosomal RNA, 984 nt
Filed under: Vibrio cholerae
Lineage: Bacteria; Pseudomonadati; Pseudomonadota; Gammaproteobacteria; Vibrionales; Vibrionaceae
Description: partial 23S ribosomal RNA
Rfam family: Bacterial large subunit ribosomal RNA
Source: RNAcentral